GACAGAGGGUGCAAACGUUGUUCGGAAUUACUGGGCGUAAAGCGCGUGUAGGCUGCUUGGAAAGUCGGAUGUGAAAGCCCUGGGCUCAACCUAGGAAGUGCAUUCGAAACUUCCAAGCUGGAGUGCUGGAGAGGAAGGCGGAAUUCUCGGUGUAGAGGUGAAAUUCGUAGAUAUCGAGAGGAACACCGGUGGCGAAGGCGGCCUUCUGGACAGUAACUGACGCUGAGACGCGAAAGCGUGGGGAGCAAACAGG
RNAcentral lists this ribosomal RNA (253 nucleotides) under uncultured bacterium. RNAcentral describes it as "partial 16S ribosomal RNA". It matches the Rfam family "Bacterial small subunit ribosomal RNA", at positions 524 to 776 of the family's 1533-position model. The record is from RNAcentral.